UAGGGAAUCUUCGGCAAUGGACGCAAGUCUGACCGAGCAACGCCGCGUGAGUGAAGAGGGUUUUCGGAUCGUAAAACUCUGUUGUUAGAGAAGAACAAGGACGUUAGUAACUGAACGUCCCCUGACGGUAUCUAACCAGAAAGCCACGGCUAACUACGUGCCAGCAGCCGCGGUAAUACGUAGGUGGCAAGCGUUGUCCGGAUUUAUUGGGCGUAAAGCGAGCGCAGGCGGUUUCUUAAGUCUGAUGUGAAAGCCCCCGGCUCAACCGGGGAGGGUCAUUGGAAACUGGGAGGCUUGAGUGCAGAAGAGGAGAGUGGAAUUCCAUGUGUAGCGGUGAAAUGCGUAGAUAUAUGGAGGAACACCAGUGGCGAAGGCGGCUCUCUGGUCUGUAACUGACGCUGAGGCUCGAAAGCGUGGGGAGCAAACAGG
This 429-nucleotide ribosomal RNA is filed under the name Gemmatimonadota bacterium. RNAcentral describes it as "Gemmatimonadetes bacterium partial 16S ribosomal RNA". It matches the Rfam family "Bacterial small subunit ribosomal RNA", at positions 355 to 776 of the family's 1533-position model. The record is from RNAcentral. Lineage: Bacteria; Pseudomonadati; Gemmatimonadota.